Molecule: ribosomal RNA, 253 nt
Filed under: uncultured bacterium
Lineage: Bacteria
Description: partial 16S ribosomal RNA
Rfam family: Bacterial small subunit ribosomal RNA
Source: RNAcentral
UACGAAGGGGGCUAGCGUUGCUCGGAAUCACUGGGCGUAAAGCGCACGUAGGCGGAUCUUUAAGUCAGGGGUGAAAUCCUGGAGCUCAACUCCAGAACUGCCUUUGAUACUGGGGAUCUCGAGUCCGGAAGAGGUGAGUGGAACUCCGAGUGUAGAGGUGAAAUACGUAGAUAUCAGGAGGAACACCGGUGGCGAAGGCGGCGACCUGGUCCAAUAUUGACACUCAUACACGAAAGCGUGGGGAUCAAACAGG